This is a long non-coding RNA of Macaca fascicularis (crab-eating macaque), 2072 nucleotides long. NCBI's taxonomy places the organism in Eukaryota, Metazoa, Chordata, Mammalia, Primates, Cercopithecidae. The record is from Ensembl.
UUUUUUAUUUUUCUUCCACGACUUUUACAGGCAAUUUUUCGACAUGCCUUAACUUUCUGACUUAUUACAAACAUUUCUUUCUUUAAACAACCAGUUAAUUUAUUUCAGGACAAGAAUUUACCAUAUAACACUCUUUUGAUAAAAAUUCACUUCUUUUUUUUUUCUUUUUUUCGAAGAUGAUAACCAUUCUUUUCCAAAGCGAACCUUUCUUUAUGUCUGUGGACUAGACUGUCUAAGUCCACAAGAAUAGAAGUUACUAUUGGCCGAGCGUGGCUCAAGCCUGUAAUCCCAGCACUUUGGGAGGCCGAGAUGGGUGGAUCACGAGGUCAGGAGAUCGAGACCAUCCUGGCUAACACGGUGAAACCCUGUUUCUACUAAAAAAUACAAAAAACUAGCCGGGUGAGGUGGUGGGCGUCUGUGGUCCCAGCUACUCGGGAGGCUGAGGCAGGAGAAUGGCAUAAACCCGGGAGGCAGAGCUUGCAUGAGCCAAGAAUGUGCCACUGCACUGCAGCCAGAGUGAGAUCAUCUUUUUUAAAAAAAAAAGUCAGUGAAACAAAGAACGGUUCUGUGUAAAGAUCGACAAAAUUAACCAACCUUUUUCUAGUAAGACUGACAAAAAGAAAAAAUAAAUUAUCAUGAUCAGGAUAAAACAGGGUAUUCUGUUUUACAGACCCUUACACCUUACACACACAUACAUACACACACAAUAAGGAAUACUAUAAACAAUUAUACACACAUAAAUUUGAAUCUUUGACAAAAUGGACAAAUUUCUCAGAAAACACACAACUGCCGGGCACAGUGGCUCACCCUUGUAACCCCAACACCUUGGGAGGCUGAGGCAGGACUGCUUCAGUCCAGUUCAAAACCAGCCUGGGCAAAAUGGUGAGACACCAUCUCUACAAAUAACUUAAAAAAAAAUUAGCCUGGCAUGGUGGUGUGUGGCUGUGGUCCCAGCUACUCCGGCGACUGAGACAGGAAGCUCACUUGAGAUCAGGAAUUUGAGGCUAUUGAGAGCCAUGACUGUACCACCACAGUUCAGACUGAAUGACAGACUGAGACUUUGACUCAAAACAAAACAAAAACCAACAACAGACACAGCACUUCAACCCAUCGAUAUAAAACACUUUAAAUUGUCCCGUAACUAUUCACAGAAUUAAAUGUAUAAUGCAAAAUUUUGACACCUAAAAAAAAAAACUCGACUCAAAAGAUACCAUCUAAAGAAAUAACAUCAAUUCUACCUAAUUCUAUAAAAAAUAGAAGGGAAUCUACCACAUAUCUUUAAGAACAUAAUCAGUUCUACAUAAUCCCUUUGAGAAAACAAGAGUUACAGCAAACACAUUCCUAAGAGGGAAUUCCAUAGCAAUGAAGGCACAUCAAAAAAACAAGGCCGAGUGCAGUGGCUCACACCUGGGUAUCACAGGUGUUAUGUUCUUGGGUAACAUAUAAAUUAGAACUUUUUGAGUUAUAUUCUUUUCCUCUAAACCACUUAGUGAUACUCUUUUAUGUUGCUCAGUGUUUUAGAAGUGCUUUCCUUUUUAUUGCUUGUGUUGUUUGUUUACGCCAUCUCAUACCCUUUAAACUACCUCUCUUGAUUUUCUCAUAUAUACUGUUAGAUCUGCCUGAUUGUAUUCAGAACAUAUCCAUAUAUGUAACUAUAUGGAUACACACACACAAAUUCUUCAUAAGUGACAUUGUGCACUGGUAGGUAUGUUAUUUGGUUGACUUUCUUACUAGAAAACGAACUAUUGAAGAUCAUCAAUUUAUAGGAGUUUCCAAUGCCUGUUUCAACAUAGCCAUCCCUAAAAUCAAGGUCCCAGGACUCUUUCCAGGAAUACUUAAAAAGUCACAAUUAUUUUCACAUGCAAACAUUAUCUGCCCUUUUCACCAUGCUGAUGUUUGCAUUGAAGAUGCAAAGGCAGUGGUGGUUGAGACUCCUGGCUUCCUACCACGAAUGGAUCAAGGCAGUAGUACCAAACUGAAGUCAUUUGUAAUCUUCAAGACCAUACAAGCUCCCCUGAAAGUAAAUCGCGCCGGGCGUGGUGGCUCACACCUGUAAUCCUAGCACUUUGGGA